This 74-nucleotide transfer RNA is filed under the name Crocinitomicaceae bacterium. RNAcentral's name for it is "tRNA-Arg". It matches the Rfam family "tRNA". Rfam says of the family: Transfer RNA (tRNA) molecules are approximately 80 nucleotides in length. Their secondary structure includes four short double-helical elements and three loops (D, anti-codon, and T loops). The record is from RNAcentral. Lineage: Bacteria; Pseudomonadati; Bacteroidota; Flavobacteriia; Flavobacteriales; Crocinitomicaceae.
GGUCCUGUAGCUCAACUGGAUAGAGCAUCGCCCUUCUAAGGCGACGGUUCGGGGUUCGAGUCCCUGCGGGAUCA